AAAGUCAUAAUGUAGUUGUUUAAUGUAUCAACAAUAUGAUUCGUAGGUGCUAAGAUUGCCAUAUUCUAAAAAAAGAAGGAUCAUUCAUAUUAUCCAAAAGUGAUGGACAUAUGGUAUCAAAAAUUGAAGCAAUAGGGUCACCUAUAUUCUUAAUUAGCAAGUUCUCUGAUAUUGUAAUUUCAGUUUUGUCAUCAUUAUUUUCUCCAAC
This 208-nucleotide long non-coding RNA is filed under the name Lathyrus oleraceus (garden pea). RNAcentral describes it as "Pisum sativum (pea) long non-coding RNA (PSAT_LNC038047)". The record is from RNAcentral. Lineage: Eukaryota; Viridiplantae; Streptophyta; Magnoliopsida; Fabales; Fabaceae.